Molecule: ribosomal RNA, 301 nt
Filed under: uncultured bacterium
Lineage: Bacteria
Description: partial 16S ribosomal RNA
Rfam family: Bacterial small subunit ribosomal RNA
Source: RNAcentral
CAGCAGCCGCGGGAAUACGUAGGGUGCGAGCGUUAAUCGGAAUUACUGGGCGUAAAGCGUGCGCAGGCGGUUCGUUAAGACAGAUGUGAAAUCCCCGGGCUUAACCUGGGAACUGCAUUUGUGACUGGCGAGCUAGAGUAUGGCAGAGGGGGGUAGAAUUCCACGUGUAGCAGUGGAAUGCGUAGAGAUGUGGAGGAAUACCGAUGGCGAAGGCAGCCCCCUUGGCCAAUACUGACGCUCAUGCACGAAAGCGUGGGGAGCAAACAGGAUUAGAUACCCCUGUAGUCCCUGUCUCUUAUAC